CUCCCCCAAACCUCUGAAGAGAGGGUCCCGCCCCGCCCCGCCCCACUUUCGCCCGCGCCCCGCCCCGUCGCCGCCGGCGCUCCGCCCCGCCUGCCGAGCCCGGGCUAGCCGUCCGGCGCCCCUCAGCUCGGGAGCGCUGGCUCCACCGGCAGAGAAAUGGAUCAAUUUUGACAAGAUGUAGUACUGCAGCGUGCCUGAUGGAAUAUGUUCAGCCAUGGCAUCCGAACUUUGUAAGACGAUCUCUGUGGCAAGGCUGGAAAAGCACAAGAAUUUGUUCUUAAAUUACAGGAAUCUGCAGCAUUUCCCAUUGGAGUUACUGAAAGAUGAGGGACUACAGUACUUGGAGAGACUCUACAUGAAAAGGAACUCCCUUACAACCUUGCCAGAAAACCUUGCUCAGAAGCUUCCAAACCUUGUGGAACUGUAUCUUCACUCAAAUAACAUAGUUGUGGUUCCGGAAGCCAUUGGGUCCCUUGUGAAACUGCAAUGUUUGGAUCUUAGUGACAAUGCCUUAGAAAUCGUUUGCCCAGAAAUUGGUCGUCUGAGAGCUUUACGUCAUCUUCGGUUGGCUAAUAACCAGCUGCAGUUCCUACCUCCAGAGGUUGGCGAUUUGAAGGAGCUGCAGACACUAGACAUUUCUACCAAUCGUUUGCUAACUUUACCCGAGAGGCUUCACCUGUGCCUUUCUCUGCAGUACCUCACUGUGGACCGAAAUCGUCUAUGGUGUGUGCCGCGCCACCUCUGCCAGCUGCCCAGCCUCAAUGAGCUUUCCAUGGCUGGAAACCGUCUUGCAUUUUUGCCACUUGAUUUAGGUCGAUCUCGAGAACUUCAAUACGUGUACGUGGAUAACAACAUUCAUCUGAAAGGCUUGCCAUCCUUUCUGUACAACAAAGUCAUUGGGUGCAGUGGCUGUGGUGCUCCCAUUCAAGUUUCUGAGGUGAAGCUGCUUUCCUUUUCAUCAGGGCAACUAACCGUUUUCCUCCCUGCUGAGGUGAAGGCCAUAGGGACAGAGAAGGAUCACGUCCUGCCUCUGCAGGAGCUGGCCAUGAGGACUCUGCAUCACACCUACCACGCUUCUCUAAAAGAUCUGGACUUUCUGUCUCCAGUCUCGUUACCCAGAAGCCUGCUGGAGCUGCUGCACUGCCCCCUGGGGCACUGCCACCGGUGCAGCCAGCCCAUGUUUACGAUCGUCUACCCCAAGCUCUUUCCCUUGAGAGAGACGCCAAUGGCAGGGCUGCACCAGGGAAUGAGAGCGAGCGUGGGCAGGGUACUGCACCUCUGAGAGCCUCAGAAUGGAGCUGGAGCAGCCUGCUGGGCAGGGCAUCUGAGGAUCAGCAGACGAUGAAGGCAGACACCUGGCACAUAAUGGGUGCUCGGCAAAUGGAGGACAACUGUGAGUUUUGUGGCUUACUGCUGCUCCACCCAAUGUCUGCAGACUUUUGACCUACUGAGUUGAUAAACACUCAAGAGCCUCAGGAGUGGUGCCAGCUUGACACUGCAGUUGCCUGCAUAUCGCACACUGUGCGGCAAAGGGGUGGAGAGUCCAGCCAGGCCCAGCAGCCCUUGCGUCCUGCCACACUCGGAGACUGCAGGACUCUGGAAACGUCACGAUCGAGCUUCAGAACUGAAAUGCCUUCACCCUUCCCCCAAGUUGGAAUAUAUCCUCCCCCAAAUUAAGAA
This is an RNA transcript of Bubalus bubalis (water buffalo), 1680 nucleotides long. It is a transcript of the gene named leucine rich repeat containing 28, with no coding region annotated. The record is from RefSeq and is a predicted model, not a curated record. The transcript has 11 exons. NCBI's taxonomy places the organism in Eukaryota, Metazoa, Chordata, Mammalia, Artiodactyla, Bovidae.